UAGGGAAUCUUCCGCAAUGGACGAAAGUCUGACGGAGCAAUGCCGCGUGAGUGAGGAAGGCCUUCGGGUCGUAAAGCUCUGUUGUGAGGGAAGAAUAAGUAUCGGUUGAAUAAGCCGGUACCUUGACGGUACCUCACCAGAAAGCCACGGCUAACUACGUGCCAGCAGCCGCGGUAAUACGUAGGUGGCAAGCGUUGUCCGGAAUUAUUGGGCGUAAAGCGCGCGCAGGCGGCUUCUUAAGUCUGAUGUGAAAUCUCGGGGCUCAACCCCGAGCGGCCAUUGGAAACUGGGAAGCUUGAGUGCAGAAGAGGAGAGUGGAAUUCCACGUGUAGCGGUGAAAUGCGUAGAUAUGUGGAGGAACACCAGUGGCGAAGGCGACUCUCUGGUCUGUAACUGACGCUGAGGCGCGAAAGCGUGGGGAGCAAACAG
This 429-nucleotide ribosomal RNA is filed under the name uncultured bacterium. Its description in RNAcentral is "bacterial SSU rRNA". It matches the Rfam family "Bacterial small subunit ribosomal RNA", at positions 355 to 775 of the family's 1533-position model. The record is from RNAcentral.